This 222-nucleotide unclassified non-coding RNA is filed under the name plant metagenome. RNAcentral describes it as "partial contains small subunit ribosomal RNA, internal transcribed spacer 1, and 5.8S ribosomal RNA". The record is from RNAcentral.
UCUCCGUAGGUGAACCUGCGGAGGGAUCAUUACAGAGUUCAUGCCCUCACGGGUAGAUCUCCCACCCUGUGUUAUUAUACUUUGUUGCUUUGGCAGGCCGCCCGCGUGGGCUACCGGCUCCAGCUGGUAAGUGCCUGCCGGAGGACCCCAAACUCUGAAUAUUUUAUUGUCUGAGUACUAUAUAAUAGUUUAAAACUUUCAACAACGGAUCUCUUGGUUCUC